Long non-coding RNA from Poecile atricapillus (Black-capped chickadee), 341 nucleotides. RefSeq lists it as uncharacterized. The record is from RefSeq and is a predicted model, not a curated record. NCBI's taxonomy places the organism in Eukaryota, Metazoa, Chordata, Aves, Passeriformes, Paridae. The transcript has 2 exons.
UCAAGAAGAGACACGUGAUGCAAGUGCCCCGGCGCGGCCAAUGUGGGCUCUGCGCCGCCGCGUGAUGGGCGCGCGCGGCCGGGAGGGAGCGGCGGAUGUGGGUUGGAGCGGGUGAGGCCCGCCGGUCCCGAACGUCGGGAAUGGCCCCGGGACGCAUCUGGAUGUAAGGAUCCCGCCGCUGAACACUUACGGAGGCUCCGCACGGGUUUCGGCGGCUGCCGGUCCUGCUGCGCUGGUGAAGGCUCUGGGCAGUCACCGAGGAGAAGCUCCUGAACAUGCCCGUACUUACCAAAAAACGUUAAUGUAAAGGGUGUAUAAAACCGUAAAUAUUCUUGCUUCAA